UACACCUGGCUAAUUUUUGUAUUUUUUCUAAAGAGAGGGUUUUGCCGUGUUGCCCAGGCUGGUCUUGAACUCCUGAGCUCUAGUGAUCUGCCCACCUCGGCCUCCCAAAGUGCUGGGAUUACACACGUGAGCCACCGUGCCUGUCCUUUUUUGCUCCUUUUAUCUUUUUAGUUUAUAAGCAGACUGCCUAUCUCAGUCCCUCAGAUUGCCAGUUGUUGGUUCUGAGAAAAUGGAUUUAAGUGGAUUUAUUAACUUCCCUCUGCUUUAUGCAUUCUCACUUCUUCCUGUGUUUAAUUUGUUUGUAGUUGACUGCAAGGCCUCUGAGGCACGGGAAUUCACAGCUGAGUUCUUGGAGAAGGUCCUUGAGCCAUCUGGAUGGCGGACAGUCUGGCACAUGAUGUGCUCAAGGUGCUGCUUGAGGCCACAGAUGUGGACAUUUCAGCCUUGAAGGCAGUGGUGCAGCUUGCUGAGCCAUACCUCUGUGAAUCUUGAGCGAGUACUUUCACCUUGGAGUGUGUGAAAGAGCUCCUCGAGCUGAAGGAACAUCAGUUGCCCCUGAAGGAGCUGGGUGGUGUUUGAUGAUUCUGGAGACAGCACUUGUAACUUGUAACUGAGCAUGUCAGCUAGGAAGGAGGUAUCUGGUCAGAGAAGGUGUUUUCUGAGGCUGCUUCCUGGAUCCCUAGGGUUUGUGUUCCUGCCAUUCAGCCUAUUUGGCAGUUAUUUCCACCUGUACAAACAGACCCUUUGUCCCUUACAUGAGAAAGAAAGCCCACACCUGGAUUCAUAUUAAUAG
Molecule: long non-coding RNA, 793 nt
Filed under: Homo sapiens (human)
Lineage: Eukaryota; Metazoa; Chordata; Mammalia; Primates; Hominidae
Description: non-protein coding lnc-UQCRFS1-3:4
Source: RNAcentral